GUUUUCUUUUCAAAAGCUUUUUAUGCUCUCUCUUCUCAAAAUCAUUUCCACUUUGCCAAAUGAUACUAUUUUUGAAUAACAGUAAGAGCAUUCUAGAAGUAAAUUAUGAUUCUAAAACUGGCUUCAUCAAAAUAGGAGCAGAUGAAAAAAAAUUUAAUGGGUCUAACUCAGAGGACCUGAGCCAAGCAGGAGAAGCAGAAAUCAACUAAACUUCUAGAACUGCAUUUCUCAAAGAAGACCACCUGCUUCAGAAUCUCUUGGACUGCUGGGCCAGAGUUCUAACCAACACCAGUGAGCCAGUGUCUGUCCAAUGGCAUGAAGCAAUGUAUUUUUCUAAGAAAUGGUCCUGCCACGAAAGGCCUCUGUAUUUGUUUGGCGAGAAAAAAAAGCUCAACCUCAGAAGAAGGGCAAGCACUGGGCUGGAAGAAGACUUCAAAGCUGUGCAUUCAACCUUCACAGUAAUUUACUUAACAAGCAUAGACUGAGCACCUCGUGAAUGCUCAAAGAUGAUGGCAAUGUAUUUCCA
This 526-nucleotide long non-coding RNA is filed under the name Vulpes vulpes (red fox). RNAcentral describes it as "lncRNA (ENSVVUG00000004599.1)". The record is from RNAcentral. Lineage: Eukaryota; Metazoa; Chordata; Mammalia; Carnivora; Canidae.